This 2865-nucleotide long non-coding RNA is filed under the name Canis lupus familiaris (dog). RNAcentral's name for it is "lncRNA (ENSCAFG00845023640.1)". Lineage: Eukaryota; Metazoa; Chordata; Mammalia; Carnivora; Canidae. The record is from RNAcentral.
UUGGUAUUCAAAGAUUAUUUUCCUUUUGUUUCCUUUCCCCCCUUAUUAUUGUUAUUCUUGUUUAUUUUUAUUUUUUACAAAACAGGAGAAAAGAGUGAACUGGGUUGGGGGGAGGCGACACAUUUCUCCACAAAGGUACAAAAUUGCCUCUAGAAAGUCCACCUCAGAGCGCCAACCCAGGCUUGCCAAGACGAGGCGUCCCUGGGCGUCCCUUCUCUCCCCAGAGGUCCUUCGGAUGCGGUCGGGAACCCACUGUGGGAGUGGUCCCCCAACGUGGGGAGGGGAGGCCUCCCUCAGCCCUUGCCCAGGAGGGGAAAGAGCAAGCAAUUAAGACUAUACAAAGAGCAGGGGGCGCAUCCUGUGGGACACAGGCAGGGAGCGCGUCCUGUGGGACGCAGGCAGGGGACAUCCAAGCAGAGGCCCCUGGGCCUCUGGGCGCACUGACAACGAAGGAGAUGGGAGGCUCUGGCCAGAGUCCUUCCUGUUCCUUGGAGAUGCCCUGCAGAAUGUCAGCAGACAGGCCCCACAAGGGAAGGGCAGCCCCUGGAGCUGAGAACCCCAUCUGUCUUGGUCCAGCUGCCAGGCCUCAAGCAUGCGGUCCAUGUCACUUUCCUGGCAGGGCAUCUGGCCCAGAUUGCUUCCCUUUGGGUAAAAAGUAGUCCUAGUUAUUCCUCUACUGCUGCGAGCGGCUGAGCUUCAGGAAUUUUGCAGCAAUGGUGGUGACAGCAUUUCCCCUUCUGAAGACCUGGACAGCUUCCUUCCUGGGUUCCAGGGCAGGACAAGGGGCGCAGACACCACGCGGACGGAGGGGGUGCUCCAGCCCCAGAAAGCCCAGGCUGGAAGGAGAGCCCGCCCACCCACUCCCUGCCUGGGCUGACCAGUGCCAAGGUGGGCUGCUAGUCCGGCUGCCAACAGGAGGACAGCAAGAGCCAGGAUGGCUAUGAGCCCAGGUCGGUCCCCUAAGGCUCUGUGGCAAGGAGUGGCCUCUUUAGUCCUGGUCCAUACACAUGCCAACUGGGUGUGGGCAUCAGCAAAGGCCACUUGCAGGCAGGCCCAGUACUCUGUGGCCUGAAGGAGGCGGGUGAUGUUGUAGCUGUGGGUGCCCCUCGGCAGGCGGGCCAGAGCAGGGGCGCCCUGGCCCCGGAGGGAGGAGGCGCUGGACCAGGUGAGGUUGGUAGAGACUGUGUUGGGUGGGGGGACCCAAGACAGCAGGAUGUGAUAAGGGUGGGUCUCCUGUACCCGGAGCUCCAGCCCCCAUCCCUUGUCCCGGCCGGGCUGCAGGGGAGCCUGGCCCACAGCCACACUAACCGUCUUACUGUCAGCCCCCACCAGGUUCUGAGCCACACAGGUGUACAGCCCGGCCUCUUCUGCCGUCACCCUCCGCAGCUCUAGGGUCCCCUCGGGGUACACCCGGUACUUCCUGCCCGCUCGGGCAGCUGUGAGUCGCACCCCGGCCGGGGUGACCCAGUAGAUCUCAGGUUCUGGUUCGGCCAGCGCCCGGCAGUGGAGCGCCAGGCUGUCUCCGCUGGCCACCUGCAGGCUGGGAGGGAAGCUGCGGGGGGAGAUGAGGGGCAGGCAGUGGUCCGUCAUCUCCCGGAAGGGUACCUCACGGACGGGGCGGCGCUGGAGGUCCGGCGGCUCGGCGCACAGGGUGGACUGCGGCUCAAUGAAGCGAACGCGGGUGCCCGUGGCAUUGGCCCAGCGGAUGACACAAUCACAGCGGAUGGGGUUGCCAUGGAGACCCACCUCCUGCAGGUUGGGCAGGGACUCCACCGUCUGCUGGUGCAAGGCACUGAGAGCAUUGUUGUUGAGCAUGAGGGUCUCCAUCUGCGGCAGGUGGUGGAAGGCGCGGGGGUGGAUGAAGGACAGCCGGGGGUUGUUGGUGAUGUCCAGUUUGGUCAGCUCGGGGAGGUUGACCAGGGCGAACUUGUCGAUGGAAACCAGCUCCUCCAUGUUGUUCAGCCCCAGCUCCUUGAGGUGCAGCAUGUUGGCAAAGUCCCCGGGCCCCACCCGCUGGAGCGGGUUCUUGUUCAGGUCGAGGAACUUGAGCCCGGGCACCUGCUCCAGGGCCCGCCGGGGCACCCGGGCCAGCUGGUUGUCGUAGAAGGAGAGGCUCUCCAGGCUUUGCAAGCCCUCCAGGGCAUAGUCGGAGAUCUCCCGAAGGUUCAUGCCUGCCAGCACCAGGCUCCGCAGAUUGGCCAGCGGCCGGAAGUUCAUGUCCAGGAUGGCGUCUACCUUGUUGCCACCGAUCAUGAGGAUCUCGAGGUUGGGCAGCAUCUCAAACCAGCGGCUGUCAAUGGCCCUCAGCAGGUUGGAGUUGAGGUGCAGCCGCAGCAGGUUGCCGAGGCCGGCGAAGGCCCGGGGGGCGAUGCGGUAGAGCUGGUUGUGGUUGAGAUAGAGUUCCUGCAGGCUGGCCAGCCCCGCGAAGCUGUGGUCCUCCAGCCGGGUCAGCCGGUUCUCCUCCAGGUGCAGGCUCAGCAGCCGGGGCAGGGCACGGAAAUCACAGUCUCGAGCGUCCGAAAAGCUGUUCUGGGACAGGUCGAGCUCCGUGAGAUUGGCCAGGUAGUUGAGCUCACUCUGGUCCACACGCAUGAUGCUGUUGCUCUGCAGCAGCAAAGUCUGUGUGCCCGCGGGCAGCCCGGGGGGCACGGCCGUCAGGAACAGAUCGUUGCAGUCCACGGUGGUGGCCUCGCGGUAGGACGAUCGGGGCGUAUACCAGGGCCGGAUCUGGCAGGCACACUGAGGAGGGCAGGGCACUCGCCAGGGGACCACGGGCACGGCGGCGGUGGCACUGGCCACCCAAGCUAGCAAGAGGGGGGCCACGAGGAGCCUCAUGAUGGAGCCGCAGGAGGAGUCUGGAGUCCU